This is an RNA transcript of Cercocebus atys (sooty mangabey), 10055 nucleotides long. RefSeq lists it as uncharacterized. NCBI's taxonomy places the organism in Eukaryota, Metazoa, Chordata, Mammalia, Primates, Cercopithecidae. The record is from RefSeq and is a predicted model, not a curated record. The transcript has a single exon.
AAAAAAAAAAAAAAAAAAGAAAAGAAAAGAAAAAAAAAAGAAUACCACAAGGAGAGAGGGCACUGCAGCAGGUCCUCUUGCUUUUGCAAAGGGAGUGGCAUUGGAUCAUCAGGGACGAGGCUCCAAACCAUGCCAGUUGAAUUUCCCAUGAGGGAGAGGAAAGGAAGGAGGAUCAUGGCCUCCCUCCCCCAGCCCUUCCCGGGCUCCUUUGAGCCUACAGUUUGCAGCCACAUCGCUUACCGUGCAGGCUGAGGGAUUCCAGCCCACCCCUGCCUUCCGUGUGGAUAUGUGUUUGGAUCUCAGGUCUCAAUGCAUGAAAAACCGAAGCACAGCUUUGCAAAGCCCAUUAGAAAAAAAACAAAGUGUGUGCUUUUAUUCUUUCUGGAAUAUUGCCUAUCAUUGAUGUGAGGCCAUUAGGCACAGCUGGGGGCCCCACGGCAGGGACGGGUGAAGUGGAACCAGAGACCUGAGGGGCUUCUUCCGCAGGCUCCUUGUAGACCUGGGACGGGGCAUGUGGUUCACCGGUGUCCCUGGCUGCGUGCCCCCAGCUGCUGGGGAGGAGACCAACAGUGGUUGAUUGUGUUCCUCUCAGGGGUGCUAUCCAAGGGUACAUUAUUCAAGUAUUUUGGAAUCUUGGCAGAAAAGAGAAGAAAUUUAAGGUGAGAAUUACUGUUGUCAGUGGCGUAACAUUAUAAUCAACACUCCCAGAGAGCCAAUGCUGUGUUCAGCUUUAUCGUCCAGAAGUCUGUUUGAUAUCUUGACAGCUGGGAACCUUUAGCUGAUGGCCAAAGGGUGGGAGGGAGAGCAGGUGGACGAUGGCCUGUGUUUGAUGGGGGAGCCUGUUACCCUUUUCCUCACUGUUAAAGCCUUGUGAUGGUGUCUGGGACAACUUUACGGGAUGAUUAAAGGCCAUCUUCCAGCGGGUACAUUUUUCUUUCUCACCGGCAGAUCUCAUCCUAGGAUAGUUGAGAACGAUACACCUAGAAUCUGCCUGCUUUUAACUCUAACAGCAUCCUUGGGCCACGGACGGGGGGCUUUCUGCAGAUCUGCCCUUUGUGUUUGAAAAUACAUCUGCCUGUGUGUGUGCGUUGGCAGCGUUGCCAUAACCAGCAUUCACUUUUCUGACUUGCCCAGGCUGCAGCAUGCAAGAUGAGUGUUGCAUGGGUACCUCCCCGCCUCUUAGACUUUUAAAAUAGAGCCAUCUCUCCCGAACAGACGGGCACAACUAAGACAGGUCACUGAUAACAGUAUCAGUAUCUACAUGCUAAGACACAGCUCGCCCCAUUUCCCACGGGGUUCUUUCCUUGGUACAAGUCACCCAGGAGACUGACUUUGGGAAAAGUAAUUUCUCCCCCUUCUGGGUAUGUUUUGCUCAAAACCUAAGAAGAAAACUCACGAGACCAGACUAGGAAAAUUUCAGCCCCCAAGGAUAAUUUUUCAGAAAGUAAUGAGCACUAGAAAAUGAGGGCUAUAAAGGAAGUCUUUAGGUAAUAAUCGUAACUAUAAUGUUCAUCACUUUGAAGUGCAUUAAUAUACACUAAAAUUACAGAAAAUAUUAAGUCUGCUGCAGGGGAAGGGGGCGUGCCUUGGAGCUUGUGGCUAAACCUCCUGGACCAGCUCGGUUCUCCGGGCCAUAGCUGGGGCUCUGUGGCCCCUGGCCCGUCCCUGCCCUCACAGAGACACGCGCCCUAAGAGAGGAUCCUGUGGCCCUAGCUGGGGCCCAGUUGCAGACACUGUGAAGGCGGGAUGGAGAAGCAGUAUCCCCCGCAGCGGGCUCCUUCUGGGGCUGUGAUGUUUUAUAGCCUGGCAAGGGAAUGCCAAGACUCCCUAAGGGCCUGGCUCACUUUAUCAGGGUCCUGCUGCUUGAGAGCGGGAGCCUGGGAGGCGAGGUGUGUAGAUGCCCUAGACGUGGCCCCUGGAGGCUGCAGUCAGGCUGAGGCAUUCAUUCCUCCGCAGUGGCCCCGGGGUGGGGGAGCAGCCGGAGCACGGCUGUGGCGGCCGCAUGCUUUCUUCUGCUGCCUGGCUCUCUCUGUGCCCCUCCUGACCCCUGAGCCUCUGCCUCUCCUUCAUUCCCCUUCCUCACUCCCCUCUUUCACCUUCAGAGCUAGCGGACUUCUCCAGGCUGCACGUAGGCGAGGGGCUGGCAAUUGGAGGUCAAGCAGGCUGAGCUUGGAGCAGCAGGAGGAAAGAUUUACGGUCCUCCCUGCCCGGCUUGAUGGACAAUUAAAGCUGCGCACGGUUGGAGGAGAGCAGUGUCGUGAAGAGUCAGGAUGGUCAGAAUAAAUCAGUCACCUCCACUUAGACGGCUGAGCUAGACUGCUUCCCCUGGGGUGUGGAUUUGAAGGUUCCGGAAUGGGCUGUUCAAAGGUUUGGCAUACUCUGAGCUCCAUCAGAGUCAGAGCCUGAAGACCCUGGGGGUCUCCUCACAAAUGGGGCGUGUGCUGUAGGGAAUUAAGGGAAAAUUCUGGAUAAUGUGUUUAGAGGGCAUUUUGUCUCCAGGGUACCUGGCAUCUGCAAGAGUCUCAAACCUGAAUGUUUGGGAGUCAGGAUAGUGGACCCCCACCUGCAAGCAGAGCGUGUGCACGCAUGUGCUUGUGUAUGCUUGUGCGCAUGUAUGUGUGCACAGGUGUGUGCAUAUUAGUGCACACGUGUGCACAUGUGUAGAUUGUACAUGCAUGUGCCUGUGUGUAGAGUGUGCACACAGGCAUGCAUGUGCAUCCUGUAUGUGUCCAUGUGUGUGUAUGUAUGUGCACAUGCACAAGUGUGUUUCUGCAUUUGUAUGUGUACCCACAUGUACCUGUGUGCAUGCAUGAGCAUAUGUGUGCCGUACAUGUGUGAGCACAUGUGUGUGUCGUGUGUGGGUACUAGUGCUUGCUUCUUGGACAUCGCAGGCUCCACUUGUGUCUUUAAACACACACAUCCCUCUGCAAGGCUGCCGGGAGCUGGGCUUCUGAGCAUCCGCCAAGCCCUGCGGCCGUCCUUCUUCAUUUGUUCUGUGUGUUAUUUCAGUACCUUGAAGACUCUGGCAAUUUCCUCAAGGAAACUUUGUCUUUGUGGAAAUGAGAUGCCAGCACUCCUCGGCCCUCCCACUGGCUAAUUGAUGAUAUGAUCCCGCGUGGGAGACUUGCCAUUCCUGGAAAUGCUCUUUAUUUCGUGGGCCCCCCCGCCCCCUGCCCGCCAUCGUCUGAUUUCUACGAGCUGCUGCACGUGAGGUGCAGGGCUGGGCGUUUGCUGUGACUCAGCCCAUGUGCCAGGCCUUUCAUUAACUUGGAUACUACAAUUAUGUGCGCCAAGAGACUGCGAGGGCCAUUUAGGAUUUUUCUCCCUUUAAGAAAAUAUUCCUUUUUCCCCAGCCAGGUAGCCCAGCCCUUUGCCUCUGCAGCUGUGGCCCAAGCCGUGUGCUGGCCCCAAGCGCUUCUCAGCUCUCCUGGCACCGACCUGAAACAAACUCUUGCUGGGGGGCUGGGGCUCUGCCAUGGUUCUGUCGGAGGUGUGCAGCAGGUGGUCAAGGCAGCCUGCCCUUGGGAGCCACAGGAUGUGGCCUGCUGUGGCGGCUUCACAGUCACGGUGUGAAUAGCAGCAUGCGUGCUUUUGUGCCUGUGUGAGCACACACACACACCCCAUCGGCACACGCGAGGAUGACCUUUGGCACAGUACACCUGCUGCUGUGGCCUGCACAGAGAAGGGCUGACCCCAGGACAGCGGCUCCCAUUCGCCUCCAUCAAGGCCAGCUGGACCCUUCACGGGGCCCUGGGAAUUUCCGAGUGUGGGCUGUGGGGUCAUGUCAUGUGGGGAUGGAGUUGCACUGGUCUCCUGCACACACGCACGCUGGCCAGCAUAUCCGUAUGCUCGCAGGGGUAGCCUGACCCUCUUCCUCCACUUAGGAGACGUAUGCAUGGAAACGUGCCCCUGUGGGUGUCUUGGGAUGAAUAUUUGGGGUCCUGGGGGGUCUGGAUUGCAGAGUAACUGGGUACUGUAAGAGUUCCUCUAAAUGUCGGGGCUCUUGGGGAGGGGGAGGCAUGCAGCACUUCUGUGGGUGGGUGGAAGGUUGAGGAGGGGCCACCCUGGCUCAAGGUCACCCCACGGGGAGCAACCUGAUCUGAGGACAGACCUGCCCGGGACUCUGGGACUGAGAUGAGACACUUGCUUCCCCCUUCAAAGGUCGUGAGAUUCUGGGGGCACAGGCUGCCUUCCAUAUGGUGCCCACAAAGCUCAUUAAAAGCACCAUUCAGAGGCCUUAUCUCCAAAAGGAAGGCAAGAGUCCAACCCACCUAAGCACCAAAUAACAACUCAACAACUCAAAAACUUAUUUUUUUAAACUUCCUUGAGUUGCCAUGGUUACUUGCACGGUCCUUGCGUCUCUGUUGCUCUACGUGGAGCUGCUUGGAGGAGGAAUUAAAACCUCCAGGGUUCACCCCUUGGAAGGGCCUGUUUGUGCUCCUGUGUGGAGGAAAAGAGCUGGAGAAGGUAGGGAUCUUCCAGGACCAUGGGAUGUGAUUUUCCAACAUUGCACUUCUGAGAUGCUGGAGACGGAAUAUGUCUCCCACGCUAAAAUAAUUAUAGCCAGGAGAACAGAGAAUACAUCAUUCUAAGUUAAGGUCCUUAACAACGAGGAGGGUGUGUGCGCGUGUGCAUGUGUGUGAGUGUAUGCGCAUGUGCGUGUGUGUACACGUGUGCGCGCAUAUGUGUGCACAAGAGCGUGUGCGCGUGCACGUGUGUGUGUAUGUGCGUGUAUGCGUGUGCACGGUCGUCUCUGCAUUGCCACCAACUUCCUCCUGGAGUGCUCUUUUGUACUGGCCACGUGUGUAAAGGCAGUGGCAGCUGAGGCCCCUGUACCUGUUGGCCGGCCUCCAGCAGGCAGUGCUUCCUGCUCCUGUGGCUUGUGCCCAGGCAAUGCUACUGAGGUGCAGAUAUCUGCAGGGGGAUUUUGGGGAGAAUUGCUAGUGAGGGAUGGGAAAGAGGGUGGGUCAAGGAGGAAUAAAGAAGCCAAGACUCCUUCUGACAAGGCUCCUCUCUGCUCUUCAGACUGUGGGGUUCCAUCCUCCUACCUGCCAUGGCUCCAUGGGGAGUCCCAGGGCCCAGAUGUGGCCCAUGCAGCCCAAAAAUUAGCUGCAAAGAGGAGAGUCCAUGCUGUGGGCCAGCGGUUUGCCCUAAAUGCCCCCUGCCUGGGGUCCGAGUGUUUCUCCCCCAUGGGAUGGACAGACUGGCAGGUCAUUUCCACUUUGGGGGCCCUGCAGCCCCAGUGGCUUUUGGGGGUGUCUGCUCCCUGCUGGCCACAGGGAGAAGCUGUCCUCCCUCUCUCCUGGGAAGGCAGGAGCCAACCCCUGCCUACAGGGGGCACUUAGUAGGUGACUGUGGAUGCAGAGGCUGAAAUCAGGUGGUACCUUCUAAGUGUCAGGCUGUAGUGACCGGUGAGGAGGGCCUUCCCAGACCCUUCUUGUCCCAAGUGGUCUCAACCUUUCCCUCUGUUUCCCGCCUCACUAGGCCAUCCCUUCCUCCUGUCAGGCGGGGAGAACUACUCCCCAGCGCUGGUGCUGGGCCACAGGGCCACACACAGGAUGACGGCAGAGGGCUCAUUCUUGGCCAGGGCUCUUGUUUUCCCUCGUGCCUCCUCUUUCUGCCCCGGGUGGGGGCGGGCAGAAAGCCCUUCUACAAGUCUGCAGGAGGACUGUGUCUGUCUUGCCAUCUUACCCGGCCAGCCCUCUCUCAUUCCCAAUGCAAACCGGAGUCCCUGGAGCACAGCUGGGCUGGCAAGACCAGAUUCCCCAAUUUGAGGCCAGUCUUGCUUUUCCAUGGCCGGGAUAUUUUAGCAGCAAGACAGGAGGUGAUCUCAGGCUCCUGCAUUGCCUUUUUGGCAAACUCAUGAGCUCGCAGUGUGAGGACAGGUGCUUUCUCCAGGAAGCAUUUGGGGUGAAUGUGUGCGGCAGCCAGGGGUGUCUCCCUCAUGAAGUCCUUUCUUAUGUGUGGCCAGCAGGAGGGAGGCCGAGGCCAGGGGUGACCCCAGCAUUUCUCUUGCAGAGUCCUAGGAGUGGCUUGGCUCAUUAAGUAGAUGGUGAAGGCCGAUGGGAAGGUUUUGGAUCCUUCUAUCAACACGGGACAUAGCGAAGCCAUGGGUUAUCACUGGGUGUAUCUAAAGCGGUGAGCAAGUGGGACGUACUGACGUAGACAGGCACACAGAGGACAUGAGAAGCAUCCACAAAGCCUUCCUCUGGGCCUGAAGUCAGCACCUGCUUUCCAUAGCACUUUCUGGGAGCUGUAAUCAGCACUGAGAAGGAAGAGCAAAAAAUCACAGAUCCUGGUGGGCGUCUGCAGCUCCGUCUCCCGUGUUGGGCUGUAAGUGCUUUGCGGGCAGGGGCUGCAGCUGAUCCACAUCUCCCCAGAGCACCCAGCAUGGCUCUCCGCUCAUGGUCCGUUCUCCGUCAACAUUUGUUGAAUUCUGACAGCUGGCUGGGGGGCAGGGGUCUUUGUGGCUCAUUAGCUCUGUGGCCAGGCUGGGCCCACGGUGGGUGGCCCUGGUGGGUUUCCGUGCCUUGGUUGUUUCUGCCUCUAGAGGCUCCACUGAGAAGGGGUAGGAGGGUGUGCCAGAGGCCCUGGUCCACCCCUGGCUGGUGCUAGGCACACUCUCUCCCUGGUAAUCAGAGAGCCCCAGGGCCUCGGGGCAGAGGGCUGUCAGAGGGACAAGGACCCCGGUGAUCUGCAGGACAGUCAUUGUGGUUUCUGGCCCAGAGAGGAAAUGGGCCCUGGUUCUGCCCUGCGGGUUCAGUGGGGCUGUGCAUCAGCCCCAGGAGCUUCCUCCCCUCCUUCCCUGGAAGUGAACCUUGGAGCUUGUGCGAUUGUUUCCCAGAACCAGAGUCAGCUGCCAAAUAGAGCAGACUGCCUCCGAAAGGGGGGUCUCAGAUGUCUCUUUGAGCCACCCCUCUUUCCUGGGCUUGGAGUGAGGAGUAGAUGAGAGGGAGGGAAAAGUACCAGGGAGGUUCUGGAUUGCUCUAGAAGAUGCCAGAUAAUUCUGGAAGAUAUCCUGAGACUCCUCCAGAUGUGUGACCCUGGGGCCAGCUGCAUCCUUCGGAGCGUAAUGUACCCCGUCCACAGGGGAGUACACUCGUGAUUAUUGAUGCUAAUGGAAAACAGAAGUGGAAUGGAUAAUUCAAGAUGGCAGAUGAAUCAAUAUUAUUUAUAUUUAGCCUGUGAAUGCGCUGCAUAUUUCUCCGCUGGCAGAUUGGGCUUCACAAUUAUGUUUUGCAGAAUCCAAGAAUUUGCUGCCCACGGGCCAAGGGCUGCCACCUUGCUCUUCCUCUAGGAGGGUUUUUGGAAAGCAUAGGAGCCCCUCGUGACUUGGCGGCCGGCUUAGAGGGAGGCGCCAGGUCCGUCCUCCCCUCUGCGCGGCUGGCAUGCCACUUCCCACAGGUCUCCCCGCUGCUAACACACUCCCUGCAGCCGGGGAUUGGUUAAAAGCGUUAAAGAGAGAAUGGCCUAUUCAUACACACGGUGGGUUUUAGGCAGCUGCUUUUCAUGGAUGUGGAAAGAGAUCCACAGUCCAUUUUAGUGGAAAGGAAAGAUGGCAGAGCCGUCAGUGUGAUUUAAUCCUAAAGCAUGUGGACCUGGUGCACUGUCUUGUCUUCAUCUGGUAUUCUCAGUGCUUAGCCCAGUGCCUGGCACAAAGCAGGUGCCCAGCGAGCGGUUGCUGACUGAGCAUGUUCUUCGCUGGGGCGCUGUGGGGCUCUGUGGCGGGAUCGGGCUCCUGGUCUGGGGACCCAAGUCUGCUGCUCCAGGGAGCUGCGUGUCUGCGCGCCGGUUUCUUUCUGGUGAGCUUGACCUUGCACCUUGGUGGCCCCAUUACGGUCAGCCUCGGCACACCUGGAAAGUGGCUCCUUUCUCUCAAUGCCGAUGGCUCUCCAGGCGGGGGUGGGGGUCAUUCAUCUUGUUACUGCAAGGGUGAGAUGGGGAGCGUCAUCCCAGGGAGUGGGGUCAGCGUCUCCUGGGGGUGUGUCCUGAGGACUCCGAUCUUGGUCAGCACUUGUGCCAAACAUGGUCCUGUCUGGUCUCCUCUUUGAGGACCCAGUAAAUGCAAACCUUCUGGCCCUCUGUGUCACACCCACAGGGGAUGAAGGAUAAGAGGAACCACAUGUGAAAACUCAGAAAUUGCCAGUGGAGGCUUCUGAGGGUGGCUUCUGGGGUGUGCCGAGGGUGGGGAAGCGCUGGGUGGGUGCUUCCUUGCAUGUUCAGAGGUGUCCCUGGAAGGCCUCACAGCUGCCUACACCCCUGGACCCUGGACGCCAGAACCUUAGUGUGGGCGUGGUGCUCUUUGACAUCCAAGUUUGAAAAGAUGGGCUCUGAUUUGUAAGGUGCCUUAUGUUAGACGUCACAUUGAUUUACAUCUCUAUAUUUAAAAAAUUGGCCCUACUCACACUGCCCUCAAGGAAGAGUGCUGUUGGGUCCUGCGGUCCCAGGGACAGGAACAAGAACCUCGAGGUGCUGGAUUUGUGUGACUCAAGUCCUCCCUGCGCAGGGCCCGGGCUGCACAGCCGGCUUUAGGCCCAGGUGGCCCUGGAGUGGACAGCUUCUGAAGUCAGCAUGUGGGAGGCAGGGCCUGGAGGGGGUUGGCUGGUGGUGUGAAUAGGAGCAUCUGGGGACAGCAAGCUAUUUCCGUCUCUUUCCUUGCUGUGGCCUGGGUGCCUCCAGGUGCCUCCAGAGGGUCAGGGCUAUGUCUUCCACUUCUUGUUUGUCCCUGCUGCCCUGCAGAGUGCCAUUUCUACAGCUCCAUAUGCAGAAUCUUCUAGAAGAAAGACCUUGUUUCUGGACUAACCCCUCAGUCUUAAAAGCUUCCAAGGGUCUUAAAGAACAUUCCAGCGCCAUCUCAGCCCUUAGUUCUGAGACCCUUCUACUUCCGGUGGAGAAGGGGGGUCAGGAGACCACCUCUACCCUCUCUGGCACAUAGUAAGUGCUUAAUCAAUGUUGCGAGAAUGCAGGAGGGACUGUUGCUCUGUCCCGAUGAGUCAGACAGAGGCAGGUUCAUCUUCCUCAAUUGCGUGCUUCCUCUGUAUCCCCUUGAACCUAAAAACAGCUAUCUCAGGAAGAGGGAGGACAGAGAGUUUGACUGAUGGAUUCCCCAGGUGCCCCAACCCUUUGGUACAAGUGCCUCCCCACCCAGCAAGUGCCAGCAGGUUUUGGUUUCUGUCCUGGAGCCCUCUGGUGCCAUACUCUCUCAAUUUCCUCUCCUGGCCCUUGGGAGCAGGGAGAACAGACGUUGGGCCGCCGCAGAUGACCGACUGCCCGAGGCCGGGACCUGAACUGGUGCCCAGUGUGCCCAUCGGGUUCUGUUGCUCCCGGACCCCUCUUGUCGUUUUCAAAAUCAAGAUACAGAAAAGAAAACUAACAUGUGUAGGAGCCACAACCACAUCACAAAGUUAUCUAAAGUGAGCAGGCCACUCUGGUUCUCAGAAAUUAGAUUAUUUUAGAGUUUCAUUGAAUUAAGAAAGGAGUCCUCCCUCAGUGUUCCCAGCUCUCUGCCCCUUCCUCUGGUAGCCCCUCUCUCCAUGCCCACCCUCCCGUGGCCGAUGAGAGAUUUUCUGGCGGUGUCAAGGCAAUGUGACCUGGUUCUGUAAUAAGGAAGAGGCUUAUUAGAAUGAAGGCCUAACAGCGUUAAAAAAGCAAUCUUUGCAAGAUUAAGGCCACAAGGGAAUUGUAAAUUCUCAGCAAAGACCUCAUUUAAGGAUUGGAAUAAAAACUCGGCAUGCGUGUACAGGCGUGCACACAUGACGCGCCCUCCAGAAGCAGACUUAGUUUACAAAAAAAGAGCUGGGAGAAGGAGGGAGGAUUGGGAGCUGCCAGGGAAGGGCAGGUGGUGUCCGUCCUGGUGGGAUGUGGGGUCUCCUGGGGGUGUCUGCCUGCCGAGAGUAGGCUGUGGACACACGUGUUCCUCUCUCAUGGGUUUUCUCUGCACCUGCACCCCUCCCUGGAGCAGCUGCCGCCCACCUCUGUCCCCCGAGAGUGGCAAGAGCCCAGUGGGGGCUGCCUUCCCUGACCCCCACCUCCGAUCACUCAUGCUUUUCACCUGG